GAUGAACGCUGGCGGCGUGCUUAACACAUGCAAGUCGAACGAACCUUUUCGGAGGUGAGUGGCGGACGGGUGAGUAACGCGUGAGGAUCUGCCCAAAGGACGGGGACAACAGUUAGAAAUGGCUGCUAAAACCCGAUGUGCCGAGAGGUGAAAUAUUUAUAGCCUUUGGAUGAACUCGCGUCUGAUUAGCUAGUUGGUGGAGUAAUGGUUUACCAAGGCGACGAUCAAUAGCUGUUCUGAGAGGAAGAUCAGCCACACUGGGACCGAGACACGGCCCAG
RNAcentral lists this ribosomal RNA (279 nucleotides) under uncultured bacterium. RNAcentral's name for it is "partial 16S ribosomal RNA". It matches the Rfam family "Bacterial small subunit ribosomal RNA", at positions 28 to 334 of the family's 1533-position model. The record is from RNAcentral.